GUGGGGAAUAUUGCACAAUGGGGGGAACCCUGAUGCAGCCAUGCCGCGUGUAUGAAGAAGGCCUUCGGGUUGUAAAGUACUUUCGGUGAUGAGGAAGGCGGUGUAUCUAAUAGGUGCAUCGAUUGACGUUAAUCACAGAAGAAGCACCGGCUAACUCCGUGCCAGCAGCCGCGGUAAUACGGAGGGUGCGAGCGUUAAUCGGAAUGACUGGGCGUAAAGGGCAUGUAGGCGGAUAAUUAAGUUAGGUGUGAAAGCCCUGGGCUUAACCUAGGAAUUGCACUUAAAACUGGUUAACUAGAGUAUUGUAGAGGAAGGUAGAAUUCCACGUGUAGCGGUGAAAUGCGUAGAGAUGUGGAGGAAUACCGGUGGCGAAGGCGGCCUUCUGGACAGAUACUGACGCUGAGAUGCGAAAGCGUGGGGAGCAAACAGGAUUAGAUACCCGAGUAGUCC
Molecule: ribosomal RNA, 450 nt
Filed under: uncultured bacterium
Lineage: Bacteria
Description: bacterial SSU rRNA
Rfam family: Bacterial small subunit ribosomal RNA
Source: RNAcentral